GAGAUGAUAAAAAAUAUGAGAAAAAAAAUAAGAAAGAGAUCAUACUUGGCAAGCUGUCAUUGAAAACAAACAAAAACUGCUUCUGCUUACUUCCCAUGUGGCCUAGCUAGAGCUGCGAGGUUCAGCAUUCUUUUGCUCUUAUGUAAAUUCUUGAUGUUGCAGAAUGAUAACUGCAACUUCCCGCUUUUGUUAAUCGGAGCAUCUAACUAAUUUAUAUUGUAAAUCAGGUAACAGAGCAG
Molecule: unclassified non-coding RNA, 239 nt
Filed under: Hevea brasiliensis (rubber tree)
Lineage: Eukaryota; Viridiplantae; Streptophyta; Magnoliopsida; Malpighiales; Euphorbiaceae
Source: RNAcentral